CUUAUCCAAAGGCAAACGGGGAGAAAUCUCCGGACGCAAAGCCGAGGGCCCUAACCUGAUCGUCAGGAAGGGUGGCCGGGUUGCAUAG
Regulatory RNA element from Candidatus Accumulibacter, 88 nucleotides. It matches the Rfam family "c-di-GMP-I riboswitch aptamer". Rfam says of the family: GEMM was predicted in a large-scale screen for bacterial structured RNA regulatory elements. Genes associated with GEMM are involved in a diverse array of functions, including chemotaxis regulation, signal transduction, secretion and chitin. NCBI's taxonomy places the organism in Bacteria, Pseudomonadati, Pseudomonadota, Betaproteobacteria. The record is from Rfam.